RNAcentral lists this ribosomal RNA (618 nucleotides) under Escherichia coli. RNAcentral's name for it is "partial 23S ribosomal RNA". It matches the Rfam family "Bacterial large subunit ribosomal RNA", at positions 949 to 1569 of the family's 2925-position model. Lineage: Bacteria; Pseudomonadati; Pseudomonadota; Gammaproteobacteria; Enterobacterales; Enterobacteriaceae. The record is from RNAcentral.
GCAAACUGCGAAUACCGGAGAAUGUUAUCACGGGAGACACACGGCGGGUGCUAACGUCCGUCGUGAAGAGGGAAACAACCCAGACCGCCAGCUAAGGUCCCAAAGUCAUGGUUAAGUGGGAAACGAUGUGGGAAGGCCCAGACAGCCAGGAUGUUGGCUUAGAAGCAGCCAUCAUUUAAAGAAAGCGUAAUAGCUCACUGGUCGAGUCGGCCUGCGCGGAAGAUGUAACGGGGCUAAACCAUGCACCGAAGCUGCGGCAGCGACACUAUGUGUUGUUGGGUAGGGGAGCGUUCUGUAAGCCUGUGAAGGUGGCCUGUGAGGGUUGCUGGAGGUAUCAGAAGUGCGAAUGCUGACAUAAGUAACGAUAAAGCGGGUGAAAAGCCCGCUCGCCGGAAGACCAAGGGUUCCUGUCCAACGUUAAUCGGGGCAGGGUGAGUCGACCCCUAAGGCGAGGCCGAAAGGCGUAGUCGAUGGGAAACAGGUUAAUAUUCCUGUACUUGGUGUUACUGCGAAGGGGGGACGGAGAAGGCUAUGUUGGCCGGGCGACGGUUGUCCCGGUUUAAGCGUGUAGGCUGGUUUUCCAGGCAAAUCCGGAAAACCAAGGCUGAGGCGUGAUGA